This 479-nucleotide unclassified non-coding RNA is filed under the name Hevea brasiliensis (rubber tree). Lineage: Eukaryota; Viridiplantae; Streptophyta; Magnoliopsida; Malpighiales; Euphorbiaceae. The record is from RNAcentral.
AUGGCAACCACCUCCGCCUCGUUAGGGUGGUUAGGCACAUCCUCUAUGUACGAGGUCAUCCUCAAAAAGGUAUUCCAAACCUGAGUUUAGCUGCUUUGAUGGUGGUUGAAUGAAAUUCGGAAGUCAUUCCAAUUCCAAGAAAUAGUUCAAUGUCUAGUGAUGGUAUUUCUGUCCUUUAAGAAUGGUCCACCCUCUGUAAAGUUGUUCUAUCAGUACAACUAACGCAAUCUCAUGAUUCAAGACUAAGGAUGACAGUUUGACUGAUACGUUAGCUCUCUCUCGCAAAUGUCUACCAUGUCCAUAAGGUCCACCUAUGCAAAAGAGUAAGGUUGAUGCUCCCUUGUUUCCAGCCUCUCCGAUUAAAGAAGCCAUCUGCUCGGAUCCAACAUCAUGACCACGCUCAUCCAACAUUACAACCCAUUCAUCAGGCCUGAUGAGGCUCAUAACAGCAAUGUCCUCAUGUUCAAUUUGAGCCACUA